GACGAACGCUGGCGGCGUGCUUAACACGUGCAAGUCGAACGGAAAGGCCCUGCUUUUGUGGGGUGCUCGAGUGGCGAACGGGUGAGUAACACGUGAGUAACCUGCCCUUGACUUUGGGAUAACUUCAGGAAACUGGGGCUAAUACCGGAUAGGAGCUCCUGCUGCAUGGUGGGGGUUGGAAAGUUUCGGCGGUUGGGGAUGGACUCGCGGCUUAUCAGCUUGUUGGUGGGGUAGUGGCUUACCAAGGCUUUGACGGGUAGCCGGCCUGAGAGGGUGACCGGCCACAUUGGGACUGAGAUACGGCCCAGACUCCUACGGGAGGCAGCAGUGGGGAAUAUUGCACAAUGGGCGGAAGCCUGAUGCAGCAACGCCGCGUGCGGGAUGACGGCCUUCGGGUUGUAAACCGCUUUCGCCUGUGACGAAGCGUGAGUGACGGUAAUGGGUAAAGAAGCACCGGCUAACUACGUG
Molecule: ribosomal RNA, 468 nt
Filed under: uncultured bacterium
Lineage: Bacteria
Description: partial 16S ribosomal RNA
Rfam family: Bacterial small subunit ribosomal RNA
Source: RNAcentral